Molecule: ribosomal RNA, 962 nt
Filed under: uncultured bacterium
Lineage: Bacteria
Description: bacterial SSU rRNA
Rfam family: Archaeal small subunit ribosomal RNA
Source: RNAcentral
CUAAGCCAUGCGAGUCAAAUGUUCUUCGUGAACAUGGCGUACUGCUCAGUAACACGUGGAUAACCUGCCCUUAGGUCUGGCAUAACCCCGGGAAACUGGGGAUAAUUCCGGAUAGAUCAUAGAUGCUGGAAUGCGCUUUGAUCCAAAGCUAUUGUGCCUAAGGAUGGGUCUGCGGUCUAUCAGGUUGUAGUGGGUGUAAUGUACCUACUAGCCUACGACGGAUACGGGUUGUGGGAGCAAGAGCCCGGAGAUGGAUUCUGAGACAUGAAUCCAGGCCCUACGGGGCGCAGCAGGCGCGAAAACUUUACAAUGCGGGAAACCGCGAUAAGGGGACACCGAGUGCCAGCAUCCUAUGUUGGCUGUCCAUAUGUCUAAAUCACAUGUGUUAGCAAGGGCCGGGCAAGACCGGUGCCAGCCGCCGCGGUAACACCGGCGGCCCGAGUGGUGGCCACUAUUAUUGGGUCUAAAGGGUCCGUAGCCGGUUUGGUCAGUCUUCCGGGAAAUCUGACGGCUCAACCGUUAGGCUUUCGGGGGAUACUACCAGGUUUGGGACCGGGAGAGGUAAGAGGUACUACGGGGGUAGGAGUGAAAUCUUGUAAUCCCUGUGGGACCACCAGUGGCGAAGGCGUCUUACCAGAACGGGUCCGACGGUGAGGGACGAAAGCUGGGGGCACGAACCGGAUUAGAUACCCGGGUAGUCCCAGCUGUAAACUAUGCUCGCUAGGUGUCAGGCACGGUGCGACCGUUUCUGGUGCCGCAGGGAAGCCGUGAAGCGAGCCACCUGGGAAGUACGGUCGCAAGGCUGAAACUUAAAGGAAUUGGCGGGGGAGCACUACAACGGGUGGAGCCUGCGGUUUAAUUGGACUCAACGCCGGAAAACUCACCGGGGGCGACAGCAAUAUGUAGGUCAAGCUAAAGACUUUACCAGAAUCGCUGAGAGGAGGGUGCAUGGCCCAAUCGGA